GCAACCAAUGCCGCCUCGCGGCCUCACCGUGCCCGGAGCGUGGCCUGCCGGGAGCUGUAGUUCGCCGCUGGUCUCUAACGGUCCCGCUGGUGGUACUCUUCCCCCCUCCUCUCGGCCUGUCCCCUCCCCCACUCGCUGGCUGCUGUGGGAAGACAGGAGCCGAGGAGGAGGCAGAGGAGGAGGGGGAAGCCGCGCAGCCACCGCCACGGACACCGGGAGCGGGGACGCCGCCGCCGGGGAGACCAGCCACCGUCUCGUUCACCCGCAGUUCUUGAAGUGGUAAGACUACUCUGAAUACAAGAUGUGCUUGAAGAGGGAGUAAUGCUGUGAUACUGCAAAGCAUGAUGUGAUGCAAUUUUCCAUGUCCAUUGUUUCUGAUGGAAGUCACUUAUAAGUUCAUAUGUCUCCCGAAGAUUAUAUUUGCUUGUAUUAGAGGGUUACUAAUGACUUUGAAGUAGAGGAAUCUGAGCUGCAAAUAUAAUACAAGAAACAGAAUUGUGGAAUGCUGUGAAGACUCUAAGUGCCCUGCAGCAUUAGGCAGAUUACUAUCUGGAUUAUCUUCAGCACAACGAAAUUCAUAUACAAGAGAGUUCUCAGUCUUCCACAAUGAAUCCUGUUUACAGCCCUGUUCAACCUGGGGCUCCCUAUGGAAACCCUAAGAACAUGGCCUAUACAGGUUAUCCAACUGGGUAUCCCACAGCUGCCCCUGCCUACAAUCCGAAUAUGUAUCCAACCAGUAGCCCUGGCUAUGCCCCAGGUAAAAACAACUUUUCAUUCUGGAAACAGUUCACGACGUGCUUAAGGAUACAAGAGAGUUUCACUCAUUUGCCCUUUGUUAACUGGCACAUGGAACCCUGCUGUCACCAUAUGUUUUUCAGCAAAUAGUACAGAGACUGUAGUAAACUCCCCCAUUACUUCACAAAAUAUGUCACCACAUGUUUCUCAAUCCCUGUCAUAGGUAUGUCUAUGGCCCCCUCACUACAGCAUCUGAGCUCCCACACAAUCUUUAGUGUAUUUAUCCUCGCGAUCCCUCUGUGAGGCAGGGCAGCACUAUUAUUAUGGGGAACUGAAGAAGUAACUUGCCCAAGGUCACAUAGGAAGUCUAUGGCAGAGCAAGAAAUUGAACCCUGGUCUCCCAAACCUUCAGCUAGUAGCCCAAUCACUGGACCAUCCUUCCUCUCUAGAAUUUAUCAAAAGUAUCAUUAUAAAGAAUUAAAACAGAGCUGCAUUGUCAUAUAGGUGAACACAGAACAUGUUGUAAUGGUGAUAAUCCUAUGUUGUAAUGGAUUAUCCUUCCUUUUCAGUGCGUGCACUUAAUCAAUAAUUGGCAACAUUCAAUAAUUCACAAUAAAUUAUUCCUGCGCAUCAUCAGUGCAAAUUAGCGAGGUUCCACUGGUGAUUAAUUUUGACUAUUCUAAAGUAAUUUUCUUGCCUAAGCAAACCACUUGCGUUUCAUGCAUUUUGAGCCCAAACCUUGAAGUCCUUACUCAAGCUAUAUUCUCCUUGGAGCCAGUAGAAGAUUUCCUUUAGACCCCAAUUCAGGAAAGGGUCCCUAUUCAAGAAAUCACUUAAGUAUGUGCUUAAAGUUAAGCAUCUGCUUAAGAGUUUUUCUCAAUCAGGGUCUCAGGUGGAACAAAUAAAAACCCUUAUUCAUGUUGACUAAUUCCUUACACUAUGAGCAGGCUCUGAGACUUCAGGGGAACUAUUCGUUUUGUAAGGUACUACUCAAUAUGACUGAGGAUGGCAGAAUCAGGGGCUAAAUAAGUGCUUCAGGUAGGGUGACCAGACAGCAAAUGUGAAAAAUCGAGAUGG
Molecule: non-coding RNA, 1812 nt
Organism: Chrysemys picta bellii (western painted turtle)
Lineage: Eukaryota; Metazoa; Chordata; Testudines; Emydidae
Source: RefSeq, a predicted model, not a curated record